CAAAACGACUCUCGGCAACGGAUAUCUCGGCUCUCGCAUCGAUGAAGAACGUAGCGAAAUGCGAUACUUGGUGUGAAUUGCAGAAUCCCGUGAACCAUCGAGUCUUUGAACGCAAGUUGCGCCCGAAGUCGUUAGGCCGAGGGCACGCCUGCCUGGGCGUCAC
RNAcentral lists this ribosomal RNA (163 nucleotides) under Osteomeles anthyllidifolia. Its description in RNAcentral is "5.8S ribosomal RNA". It matches the Rfam family "5.8S ribosomal RNA". From Rfam's summary of the family: 5.8S ribosomal RNA (5.8S rRNA) is a component of the large subunit of the eukaryotic ribosome. It is transcribed by RNA polymerase I as part of the 45S precursor that also contains 18S and 28S rRNA. Functionally, it is thought that 5.8S rRNA may be involved in ribosome translocation. Lineage: Eukaryota; Viridiplantae; Streptophyta; Magnoliopsida; Rosales; Rosaceae. The record is from RNAcentral.